Molecule: non-coding RNA, 75 nt
Filed under: Mucochytrium quahogii
Lineage: Eukaryota; Bigyra; Thraustochytrida; Thraustochytriidae
Source: RNAcentral
GAAAAUACCCAAAAUUAAAAUAAAAGCCAACAUGUUGUAUGUUAUUUGAUCAUCUAUAUAGUCUUUAUUUAGUCU